CAGUCGCCGCGGUAAUACGAGGGGGGCAAGCGUUGUUCGGAAUUAUUGGGCGUAAAGGGUGCGUAGGCGGUUUCGUAAGUCUGAUGUGAAAUCUAUGGGCUCAACUCAUAGUCUGCAUCGGAAACUGCGAGGCUUGAGAGUGGGAGAGGUGAGUGGAAUUUCCGGUGUAGCGGUGAAAUGCGUAGAUAUCGGAAGGAACACCUGUGGCGAAAGCGGCUCACUGGACCAUUUCUGACGCUGAUGCACGAAAGCUAGGGGAGCAAACAGGAUUAGAUACCCGAGUAGUCCCUGUCGCUUAUAC
Molecule: ribosomal RNA, 301 nt
Filed under: uncultured bacterium
Lineage: Bacteria
Description: partial 16S ribosomal RNA
Rfam family: Bacterial small subunit ribosomal RNA
Source: RNAcentral